This 532-nucleotide ribosomal RNA is filed under the name uncultured bacterium. RNAcentral describes it as "bacterial SSU rRNA". It matches the Rfam family "Bacterial small subunit ribosomal RNA", at positions 777 to 1308 of the family's 1533-position model. The record is from RNAcentral.
AAUAGAUACCCCGGUAGUCCACGCCGUAAACGAUGAGUGCUAAGUGUUAGAGGGUUUCCGCCCUUUAGUGCUGAAGUUAACGCAUUAAGCACUCCGCCUGGGGAGUACGGCCGCAAGGCUGAAACCCAAAGGAAUUGACGGGGGCCCGCACGAAGCGGUGGAGCAUGUGGUUUAAUUCGAAGCAACGCGAAGAACCUUACCAGGUCUUGACAUCCUCUGACAACCCUAGAGAUAGGGCUUCUCCUUCGGGAGCAGAGUGACAGGUGGUGCAUGGUUGUCGUCAGCUCGUGUCGUGAGAUGUUGGGUUAAGUCCCGCAACGAGCGCAACCCUUGAUCUUAGUUGCCAUCAUUAAGUUGGGCACUCUAAGGUGACUGCCGGUGACAAACCGGAGGAAGGUGGGGAUGACGUCAAAUCAUCAUGCCCCUUAUGACCUGGGCUACACACGUGCUACAAUGGACGGUACAAAGAGCUGCAAGACCGCGAGGUGGAGCUAAUCUCAUAAAACCGUUCUCAGUUCGGAUUGUAGGCUGC